This 497-nucleotide ribosomal RNA is filed under the name uncultured bacterium. RNAcentral describes it as "partial 16S ribosomal RNA". It matches the Rfam family "Bacterial small subunit ribosomal RNA", at positions 28 to 507 of the family's 1533-position model. The record is from RNAcentral.
GAUGAACGCUGGCGGCGUGCCUAAUACAUGCACGUCAAGCGAACGGACGAGAAGCUUGCUUCUCUGAUGUUAGCGCCGGCCGGGUGAGUAAUACGUGGAUAACCUACCUAUAAGACUGGGAUAACUUCGGGAAACCGGCGCUAAUACCGGACGAUAUCUUGAACCGCAUGGUUCAAGAGUGAAAGACAGUCUGGCUGUCACUAAUAAAUUGAUCCGCGCAGCAGUAGCUACCUGGUAAGGUAACGGCCUACCAAGGCAACGAUGGGUAGCCGGCCCGAGGGGGGGAGCGGACAGACUGGAACUGAGGCACGGUCCAGGCUCCUACGGGAGGCAGCAGUAGGGAAUCUUCCGCAAUGGGCGAAAGCCUGACGGAGCAACGCCGGGUGAGUGAAGAAGGGCUCCGGAUCGUAAAACUCUGUAAUUAGGGAAGAACAGAUGUGGAGGUAACUGUGCACGUCGUGACGGUGCCUAAUCAGAAUGCCGCGGCUAACUACGUG